This 492-nucleotide ribosomal RNA is filed under the name uncultured bacterium. RNAcentral's name for it is "partial 16S ribosomal RNA". It matches the Rfam family "Bacterial small subunit ribosomal RNA", at positions 29 to 506 of the family's 1533-position model. The record is from RNAcentral.
ACGAACGCUGGCGGCGUGCUUAACACCUGCAAGUCGAACGGAAAGGCCUGCUUUCCCUUGUGGAUUGCGGGUGCUCGAGUGGCGAACGGGUGAGUAACACGUGAGUGAUCUGCCCCCAACUUGGGUAUAAGCCUGGGAAACUGGGUCUAAUUCCCGAUAGGACUGCAGGGUGGUGCCUGUGGUGGAAAACGAUUUUCUAGUGGUUGGGGAUGAGCUCGCGGCCUAUCAGCUUGUUGGUGGGGUAAUGGCCUACCAAGGCGGCGACGGGUAGCCGGCCUGAGAGGGUGGACGGCCACAUUGGGACUGAGAUACGGCCCAGACUCCUACGGGAGGCAGCAGUGGGGAAUAUUGCACAAUGGGCGGAAGCCUGGUGCAGCGACGCCGCGUGGGGGAUGACGGCCUUCGGGUUGUAAACUCCUUUCGACCGCGAGGAAGCCACCUGGUUGGAAGGGUGGUGACGGUAGUGGUAGAAGAAGCACCGGCUAACUACGU